This 1495-nucleotide unclassified non-coding RNA is filed under the name Hevea brasiliensis (rubber tree). The record is from RNAcentral. Lineage: Eukaryota; Viridiplantae; Streptophyta; Magnoliopsida; Malpighiales; Euphorbiaceae.
GGUGAGACAAGAUCACCUUAGCAGGUUAACAGCUAAGCUACCAUCGCUCGGUGGUAGACCUGAAAUUUACUUACUACUGGACUUUCCACCUCACCUUUCAACGGACAUCGCUUAGAAAGCAAGGAAAGCAGCAACCACUCUCUCUAUAAUUCAUUAUUUCCAUGCAAAUUGCUACAUAUUUGUACAAAACUGCAUCUCCUUUUCAUUGGACUGAAUCUGAUAAUGCAUCCUUUUCAUUAACUGGGUGAUUAAUUAAUGCUUUGGAAUCACAUCAAGGUACAAUGAUAAAUGAACAUGGAUGGCAAAACUUAUAAAAGGAAAAAUGAUCGUUGGCCCAAAAGCUUCAUGCUCUCUGAAACACAACACAUAAAUCCAAGUAUUGUGUAUUAUGCAGUGAAAUAAAAUGAAUGACAUUAGAAACAGCAGUACACUCAGUGAAUUUGGUGCAGGUAAAACAGGAUUAAAAGCUACCAUGUCUUUGUAGAGGCAAUUUAAGAUUAAAUCUAAUCCAUAGAAUCAAGACUUGGAGGGUACCAUCCUAAUUGAUCCAUGAUUUUCUUCAUUCUUUCUUCCUGUCCUUUAGAAUCCCCAAAGGCUGUAGUGAAGGGAUACACAUAGGUGACUUUUGUGGCCAUACACCUAUAAACAACCACAUCUCCUUUUAUCAGAAAUUCAAGCACAUCCUGCCCAAAUCCUCCGUCAACCUCUGCUUGUAAAUAUUGGCCUGAAAUUUGUUGCCAUAACCAUAAUCAAGAUUCAAGAAUGUCUGUUUAAAAAUGAAAUGAAAGAUCUAGUAAUGCUCCUACUUGUACAUUAGUAAGCCCCAACUGGCUUACCUUUUGCAGAUUUACAAAGUUACUAGUUCAGUUUCAUUUGAUUACCAUUUGGGGUAUCUUCAAUAACUUGAAUCUUGGCAUUUCUCUGCGUUUUCAAGAUUGCUUCCUGCAAUUUCUGCAUAAAUUUAAGAGUUGAACGAGUUCAACAUACGCUAGAAUGAAUGUUUUAGCCAUAAGAUAACAAGGCAGAUGUGUGUUUCUUUAAAACCUGAAUCGCAUUAUCUGCGGAGUUCUCAGGAAUUCUCCAUGGGAAUGCAAAUAAUGAAGAUUUAGGAUUUGUCGAUACACAACUUGGAUUAAUGGAUGGGCAAGGCCGAAUUUUCCUGCAACAAUAGAACAUUGCAAAAAAAAAAAUCAUAACAAAAUAAGAUUUUUUUUUAAAUAAAAAAAUGAAGUCAGUACAUACCCAUCUUCUAGUCCAAUCGGCAAGUUCUUGGAUUCAGAAAACGGUGUUGUGGGUGGAAGUAGGGGAGACAAAGAGUUGGGAGAAGGGAUAGCCAAGGAAGGUAAGGGAGAGUUUAAGGUAAAAGUGAGGGCCAAGGAAAGCAGAUUAGUGAAGAGAAUGGGUUUUGGGGUUGGAUUUUGUAUAUUAGAUUUCGCAAAAUUGAAGUGAUGAGGAGAAAUUUUCUGAGUUGGGUUCCUGGAAGGAAGUGAAGGAA